UGGGAUAAUAAGUGUUUGUAUUCUCCCCGAAACUGUAUUCUCUCAUUUGUCACCUAAUAUCUGGUUAAUUAUAUAUAAAUUUAAUUCUUUCAUUUUCUUUGAGGGUAUAUACUAGGUCACUAUUAUACCUUUGGAAUUUAUAUUUAUUAAAAAACAAAAAAAAAAUGGUGUUUAGUGGAAGCACUGCUUCACCUUGACACCUUAUGCAUCAUGUCAUUUGCUUGAAUAUGGAAACUAUAUAUACAUACCACCACUAUGGCCGGCCGCUUUUUAGUGUAGCUAUGGAUCUAUAUGUAU
This 297-nucleotide long non-coding RNA is filed under the name Capsella rubella. Its description in RNAcentral is "long non-coding RNA (CRUB_LNC001880)". The record is from RNAcentral. Lineage: Eukaryota; Viridiplantae; Streptophyta; Magnoliopsida; Brassicales; Brassicaceae.